This 468-nucleotide ribosomal RNA is filed under the name uncultured bacterium. RNAcentral's name for it is "partial 16S ribosomal RNA". It matches the Rfam family "Bacterial small subunit ribosomal RNA", at positions 28 to 507 of the family's 1533-position model. The record is from RNAcentral.
GACGAACGCUGGCGGCGUGCUUAACACAUGCAAGUCGAACGGAAAGGCCCUGCUUUUGUGGGGUGCUCGAGUGGCGAACGGGUGAGUAACACGUGAGUAACCUGCCCUUGACUUUGGGAUAACUUCAGGAAACUGGGGCUAAUACCGGAUAGGAGCUCCUGCUGCAUGUUGGGGGUUGGAAAGUUUCGGCGGUUGGGGAUGGACUCGCGGCUUAUCAGCUUGUUGGUGGGGUAGUGGCUUACCAAGGCUUUGACGGGUAGCCGGCCUGAGAGGGUGACCGGCCACAUUGGGACUGAGAUACGGCCCAGACUCCUAAGGGAGGCAGAAGUGGGGAAUAUUGCACAAUGGGCGGAAGCCUGAUGCAGCAACGCCGCGUGCGGGAUGACGGCCUUCGGGUUGUAAACCGAUUUCGCCUGUGACGAAGCGUGAGUGACGGUAAUGGGUAAAGAAGCACCGGCUAACUACGUG